This 427-nucleotide ribosomal RNA is filed under the name uncultured Providencia sp. RNAcentral describes it as "bacterial SSU rRNA". It matches the Rfam family "Bacterial small subunit ribosomal RNA", at positions 355 to 774 of the family's 1533-position model. The record is from RNAcentral. Lineage: Bacteria; Pseudomonadati; Pseudomonadota; Gammaproteobacteria; Enterobacterales; Morganellaceae.
UGGGGAAUAUUGCACAAUGGGCGCAAGCCUGAUGCAGCCAUGCCGCGUGUAUGAAGAAGGCCCUAGGGUUGUAAAGUACUUUCAGUCGGGAGGAAGGCGUUGAUGCUAAUAUCAUCAGCGAUUGACGUUACCGACAGAAGAAGCACCGGCUAACUCCGUGCCAGCAGCCGCGGUAAUACGGAGGGUGCAAGCGUUAAUCGGAAUUACUGGGCGUAAAGCGCACGCAGGCGGUUGAUUAAGUUAGAUGUGAAAUCCCCGGGCUUAACCUGGGAAUGGCAUCUAAGACUGGUCAGCUAGAGUCUUGUAGAGGGGGGUAGAAUUCCAUGUGUAGCGGUGAAAUGCGUAGAGAUGUGGAGGAAUACCGGUGGCGAAGGCGGCCCCCUGGACAAAGACUGACGCUCAGGUGCGAAAGCGUGGGGAGCAAACA